AUAAUUCUAAAUGAGCUGAGGACAAAAGAUGAAGACGACAGCUCAGAUGGAAAAUUGGCACGUUAAUAUCUGAUAUGUCCCCUAUAUGGGGAUAACGUAUUAAACCCAUUUUUAGGAGAGGGAGCUGAAAAGGGAGCUUGCUCCGCUCACUCCAUGCAUCGACCUGGCAUUGCAGUGCCGCCGGGAACGGUGCACCUUUC
Toxotes jaculatrix (banded archerfish) is the source of this 200-nucleotide small nuclear RNA. RefSeq annotates it as U2 spliceosomal RNA. The transcript has a single exon. The record is from RefSeq and is a predicted model, not a curated record. NCBI's taxonomy places the organism in Eukaryota, Metazoa, Chordata, Actinopteri, Toxotidae.